This 221-nucleotide unclassified non-coding RNA is filed under the name uncultured Gemmatimonadota bacterium. Its description in RNAcentral is "uncultured Gemmatimonadetes bacterium contains 16S-23S intergenic spacer region". Lineage: Bacteria; Pseudomonadati; Gemmatimonadota. The record is from RNAcentral.
UCCGGCUUGACGCCGGCAGUCCCCCGAGAGUCCUCAGCAUGACCUGUUAGUAACACGGGGCAAGGGUUGCGCUCGUUGCGGGACUUAACCCAACAUCUCACGACACGAGCUGACGACAGCCAUGCAGCACCUGUGUAGCUGUUCCGAAGAAGGGCCCCAGUUUCUUGAGGCUUUCAGCUACAUGUCAAACCUAGGUAAGGUGGGGAUGACGUUCGUCUGAC